UUAAUGAUUAAAUCUCGUUUAUAAAUUAAAUCUGUUAAAUUAUUUGUAAUCAGAUGUUUAAUGUUUGUUUACUGUCAGCAGAGGGAGAAACACCUCAAACACUUCCUCAUACAAUAGUGACGUCACAGAUGAAAGUGAAAGUAAAUUGUUUCGUGUUUAUCUUCCGCCAUUUUGAACAGGUAGAGUUGAUUUCUUAACAUAUCGAUGAUCAAAGUGAUUAAUAUAACAUGUAUAAACAGCUUUACAUGUAUUUUUGUGUGUGUAGUUGAUGUUAAAGUUGUAGUAUUUUGAGAAAGUGAAUCCAGUCAGAUUGUGAUGACAGCGAGUGUUCAGGUGUGUUCAGGAAGAGUUUAAAGAUGAAUAUUUAAUGAAUAACUCAGAUUUUUAAUGACAUCUUUCAUGUUUCUAUAAGUUCAGUCUUUUACAUUGUUGUUCAGUAUCAGUUGUGGAGAUCAGAUUGAUCAGAUUCACCUCUGCAGCUUCAUCAUGGAUCAAACACAAACAUCUCCAGGAUGCAGUUCAGAUCAUCAGAAGAGAUCCGAUUCAGAGUUCAGUUGUGUGUCUAUGAAGAGUGAUGCGUCUAUGAAUCAUCCAAUAGAGUUUAAGAGUGAAGAUACACGGCUUGAUAGAAGUUCAGAUCAUCAGAAGAGAUCAGAUUCAGAGUUCAGCUGUGUGUCUAUGAAGAGUGAUCAGUCGAUGCCUCUCCCAAUACACUUUAAGAGUGAAGAAACACAGCCUGCACACAG
Non-coding RNA from Misgurnus anguillicaudatus (oriental weatherfish), 746 nucleotides. The record is from RefSeq and is a predicted model, not a curated record. Lineage: Eukaryota; Metazoa; Chordata; Actinopteri; Cypriniformes; Cobitidae.